Molecule: ribosomal RNA, 253 nt
Filed under: uncultured bacterium
Lineage: Bacteria
Description: partial 16S ribosomal RNA
Rfam family: Bacterial small subunit ribosomal RNA
Source: RNAcentral
UACGGAGGGUGCAAGCGUUAUCCGGAUUCACUGGGUUUAAAGGGUGCGUAGGUGGGCAGGUAAGUCAGUGGUGAAAUCUCCGGGCUUAACUCGGAAACUGCCAUUGAUACUAUCUUUCUUGAAUACCUGGAGGUCAGCGGAAUAUGUCAUGUAGCGGUGAAAUGCUUAGAUAUGACAUAGAACACCAAUUGCGAAGGCAGCUGGCUACACGAAUAUUGACACUGAUGCACGAAAAGCGUGGGGAUCAAACAGG